RNAcentral lists this ribosomal RNA (465 nucleotides) under Vreelandella stevensii. RNAcentral describes it as "partial 16S ribosomal RNA". It matches the Rfam family "Bacterial small subunit ribosomal RNA", at positions 338 to 795 of the family's 1533-position model. Lineage: Bacteria; Pseudomonadati; Pseudomonadota; Gammaproteobacteria; Oceanospirillales; Halomonadaceae. The record is from RNAcentral.
CCUACGGGUGGCAGCAGUGGGGAAUAUUGGACAAUGGGCGAAAGCCUGAUCCAGCCAUGCCGCGUGUGUGAAGAAGGCCUUCGGGUUGUAAAGCACUUUCAGUGGGGAAGAAAGCCUUGGGGCUAAUACCCUCGAGGAAGGACAUCACCCACAGAAGAAGCACCGGCUAACUCCGUGCCAGCAGCCGCGGUAAUACGGAGGGUGCGAGCGUUAAUCGGAAUUACUGGGCGUAAAGCGCGCGUAGGCGGUCUGAUAAGCCGGUUGUGAAAGCCCCGGGCUCAACCUGGGAACGGCAUCCGGAACUGUCAGGCUAGAGUGCAGGAGAGGAAGGUAGAAUUCCCGGUGUAGCGGUGAAAUGCGUAGAGAUCGGGAGGAAUACCAGUGGCGAAGGCGGCCUUCUGGACUGACACUGACGCUGAGGUGCGAAAGCGAGGGUAGCAAACAGGAUUAGAUACCCCAGUAGUC